AGUGAACGCUGGCGGUAGGCCUAACACAUGCAGGUCGAACGGCAGCACAGUAAGAGCUUGCUCUUACGGGUGGCGAGUGGCGGACGGGUGAGGAAUACAUCGGAAUUUACUUUUUCGUGGGGGAUAACGUAGGGAAACUUACGCUAAUACCGCAUACGACCUACGGGUGAAAGCAGGGGAUCUUCGGACCUUGCGCGAUUGAAUGAGCCGAUGUCGGAUUAGCUAGUUGGCGGGGUAAAGGCCCACCAAGGCGACGAUCCGUAGCUGGUCUGAGAGGAUGAUCAGCCACACUGGAACUGAGACACGGUCCAGACUCCUACGGGAGGCAGCAGUGGGGAAUAUUGGACAAUGGGCGCAAGCCUGAUCCAGCCAUACCGCGUGGGUGAAGAAGGCCUUCGGGUUGUAAAGCCCUUUUGUUGGGAAAGAAAAGCAGCAGGUUAAUACCCCGCUGUUCUGACGGUACCCAAAGAAUAAGCACCGGCUAACUUCGUG
RNAcentral lists this ribosomal RNA (492 nucleotides) under uncultured bacterium. RNAcentral describes it as "partial 16S ribosomal RNA". It matches the Rfam family "Bacterial small subunit ribosomal RNA", at positions 29 to 507 of the family's 1533-position model. The record is from RNAcentral.